UUCAUUGUUGGAACAAUAAUUUUAACUUGCCUGCCCCUGAAACAAAUCUGCGACAUUUCAAGUCUGCAAACUAAAUAGAUGGAUUGACAUAACAAUUGUCUCUUUCUUUAACAAUAUGACUAAAAUAAUUGUUCAUCACAACUUUAUCGAUUAAAAUUGUGAUUGGUCAUCGCAAUUAAUAAUUAUAUCUUUUGUGCAUCAAACCAAGAUCACAUUGAAUCAGUUAGAUAUUUGUAGACUGGAUAUAAUCACGAUAGAAAUUUAAUCAAGCACGAAUUACGAAGGCGACAGGACCAAUUAAUUUUUAUUUAUCAAAAUGAAAUAUUUAAAGAGACAAAUUUCUUCGUCUUUAUUACUGUGAAAGUGUACCAGUUGAAACGAUGAUCCAACUGCUUGUAAAAUGUUUUUUGGUAUUAAUUCUUAUAAAUUCUUUGCAAGAUGCUGGAUACUUAAAUCAUUUAACAGAGGCUUCGGAUGGAGAUGACUGUGACACUGCCAGUACCUCACAUUCAGCUUCGUGGUUAACACUGAUAGCUACAGCUUCUUCACUGUAUCUUAUAAUGUGGACUCUUAGAUGAAAAAGGGUUGGAUAAACGGAUUUACCAAAAAAUCUAGUGAUGGCACACCUAUUAUUGCCUUUUGGGGUUUUUGUUAUGUAUUCGCUUAUAUAAAAUAUAUAAUUUUCUGACA
This is a long non-coding RNA of Mytilus californianus (California mussel), 690 nucleotides long. RefSeq lists it as uncharacterized. The record is from RefSeq and is a predicted model, not a curated record. The transcript has 3 exons. Lineage: Eukaryota; Metazoa; Mollusca; Bivalvia; Mytilida; Mytilidae.